This 1855-nucleotide long non-coding RNA is filed under the name Mus musculus (house mouse). Its description in RNAcentral is "Dxz4 macrosatellite". The record is from RNAcentral. Lineage: Eukaryota; Metazoa; Chordata; Mammalia; Rodentia; Muridae.
AUAUCCGCAGGGCGGAGCGAGCACUCAGUAAGAAAGGAUAGCUUUUCUCCCUUUUCUGCUUCGCUCCCAACUAAGAAUGCAGAGUCAGGGAGAUGGCGCAGAGACAAUGCUGCUGUCCAUUGAAGCCCUCCAAAGGUCGGAGAUUCGAUCACAGGACAGCCUGGCCUGGACCAAGUCAGGUUGAUAUGGCUAGGCGGCCUGCUGGCGAGAUAGUGGGAGUGGGCGGUCCGCCCCUCAGGACCUCUGACUUGGACAGAUGACUGGAUGACUCUCUGGGGCAGCAUUCACCGGAACUCAUAUGGAGGGGACUGCCUGAGAAACCAACCUGUGUGCCUGGGUCAGGUUGAUAUGGCUAGGCGGCCUGCUGGCGAGAUAGUGGGAGUGGGCGGCCCGCCCCUCAGGACCUCUGACCUGGACAGAUGACUGGAUGACUCUCUGGGGCAGCAUUCACCGGAACUCAUAUGGAGAGGACUGCCUGAGAAACCAACCUGUGUGCCUGGGUCAGGUUGAUAUGGCUAGGCGGCCUGCUGGCGAGAUAGUGGGAGUGGGCGGUCCGCCCCUCAGGACCUCUGAUUUGGACAGAUGACUGGAUGACUCUCUGGGGCAGCAUUCACCGGAACUCAUAUGGAGGGGACUGCCUGAGAAACCAACCUGUGUGCCUGGGUCAGGUUGAUAUGGCUAGGCGGCCUGCUGGCGAGAUAGUGGGAGUGGGCGGUCCGCCCCUCAGGACCUCUGACUUGGACAGAUGACUGGAUGACUCUCUGGGGCAGCAUUCACCGGAACUCAUAUGGAGGGGGCUGCCUGAGAAACCAACCUGUGUGCCUGGGUCAGGUUGAUAUGGCUAGGCGGCCUGCUGGCGAGAUAGUGGGAGUGGGCGGUCCGCCCCUCAGGACCUCUGACUUGGACAGAUGACUGGAUGACUCUCUGGGGCAGCAUUCACCGGAACUCAUAUGGAGGGGGCUGCCUGAGAAACCAACCUGUGUGCCUGGGUCAGGUUGAUAUGGCUAGGCGGCCUGCUGGCGAGAUAGUGGGAGUGGGCGGUCCGCCCCUCAGGACCUCUGACUUGGACAGAUGACUGGAUGACUCUCUGGGGCAGCAUUCACCGGAACUCAUAUGGAGGGGGCUGCCUGAGAAACCAACCUGUGUGCCUGGCCCACCACCUACCAGAGGUAUUGGAAAAGAACGGAUACGGAGGAAGUGGACCCAUUUAGAGUUUUCAGGUUUGAAAAAAGGAUGGAAAAGAACUCAAAUUCAGAGAAUCCCAUUUCUUCAGAUGCUUCUGUCAGGACUCCAUGUCAAUCUCAACUCCUUCAUUCUUGUCCUCAAGUGUUUCUGUCAGGCUGUUUGCACUCACAUCUUCAAGAGCUGCCAGAUCAAGAGAGGGCAGAGGGUUCCUCCAAUACUGGAAUGUAUUAUACUGCCAAAACUCUUCAGGCUGCUGGCUGUGCACCCGGUCGGCUACCUGCGGGCUUCCCGCGUUUUCUACUCUGUCGCCGCCGCCCGCAGCCCGGGGUUCCUCCUGCUCGCCAGGAGGCGGCUCUCCGGGCUCCCGGCUACAGCCCUGCAGCUCCUGUCUGUCGUCCCCGCCAUGAUCCCCGCGUCCCCCUGGCGCUUGAGGGGCCGAGCCGUCCCAGACGGCGGGACCCAGAGCGGCGGCUCCUCGGGGAAGUCGCUGAGCAGGAGCCGCUUCCAAGGCACGCGGAACGUGAGCGGCUCAGCCGCACGCCGCUUGGCCAUGGGCCAGGGACGAGGGUCGCACGGGUGUCGGCCGAGGGCGGAGGGCGAAGGGCAGCCAAGACAUCUUAUGCCAUCACAUUCUCUAAUGACUGAUUAAAAAUAUAAAUCAUUUGCAUAC